Molecule: long non-coding RNA, 1073 nt
Organism: Cyprinus carpio carpio
Lineage: Eukaryota; Metazoa; Chordata; Actinopteri; Cypriniformes; Cyprinidae
Source: Ensembl
GUUUCAUUGUACAUGUGCUGUUGUGUGUUUGCUUCAGGGUGUUGAUGCUCUUAGCUGCCUGUUCAUCUGCCUAUUGUGUGCAGUGUGGAUUUUGAGUUGAUAAGGUGUUGUCAAUCUCAUUUUCCGUUUUGUAUAUUUUGUAAAGUAUUGUAAAUAUUCUCUUUUCAAACUUGGAAGCUGUAGGGGCAUCAUCUGAGGUCCUCUGAGGGGUCGGCAUCAUCUCUUCUCAGGUGUUCUGGAUCCAGACUGGAGCUUGUGUAAAUCCUAGUUACCACGGGAUGUAAAUCCAGCAGAAACAGAGAAACAAAUAGAAACAUAAUUAGCGUAGCUGCUGUUCCAGCCAAGUAAAAUUAAUUCGUUUUACCCAAGCUAAAGAAUAAUAAUGCACAUUUGAUCAGAUAUAACUGCAGUCCAAAAUUAUGAGAUGCAUUAUUUGAAUGCUUGGCCAAAGAGGUGUGUUUUUAAUCUAGAUUUAAACAGAGAGAGUGUGUCUGAACCCCGAACAUUAUCAGGAAGACUAUUCCAGAGUUUGGGAGCCAAAUGCGAAAAACCUCCUUUAGCGGACUUUGCUAUCCUAGGUACUAUCAAAAGUCCAGUGUUUUGUGACCUUAGGGAGCGUGAUGGAUUGUAGCGUGGUAGAAGACUAGUUAGGUACGCAGGAGCUAAACCAUUAAGGGCCUUAUAGGUAAGUAAUAAUAUUUUAUAACUGAUACAGAACUUAAUAGGUAGCCAGUGCAGAGACUGUAGUAUUGGGGUAAUAUGGUCAUAAAAAAAUAAAUCAAAAAAAAAAAAAAAAAAUUCUUGUUACAUUAUAGUCCUCCACGUCCGCUCCGUUCUCAAAACUCUGGCAAUUUGAUAAUACCUAGAAUAUCAAAGUCAACUGCGGGCGGCAGAUCCUUCUCAUAUUUAGCUCCCAAACUCUGGAAUAACCUACCUAACAUUGUUCGGGAGGCAGACACACUCUUGCAGUUUAAAUCUAGAUUAAAGACCCAUCUCUUUAACCUGUCUUACACAUAACAUACUAAUACACUUCUAAUAUCCAAAUCCGUUAAAGGAUUUUUAGGCUGCAUUAA